GGAACUCCAUGUGUAGCGGUGAAAUGCGUAAUAUAUGGAAGAACACCAGUGGCGAAGGCGGCUGUCUGGUCUGUAACUGACGCUGAGGCUCGAAAGCAUGGGUAGCGAACAGGAUUAGAUACCCUGGUAGUCCAUGCCGUAAACGAUGAAUGCUAGGUGUUGGAGGGUUUCCGCCCUUCAGUGCCGCAGCUAACGCAUUAAGCAUUCCGCCUGGGGAGUACGACCGCAAGGUUGAAACUCAAAGGAAUUGACGGGGGCCCGCACAAGCGGUGGAGCAUGUGGUUUAAUUCGAAGCAACGCGAAGAACCUUACCAGGUCUUGACAUCUUUUGAUCACCUGAGAGAUCAGGUUUCCCCUUCGGGGGCAAAAUGACAGGUGGUGCAUGGUUGUCGUCAGCUCGUGUCGUGAGAUGUUGGGUUAAGUCCCGCAACGAGCGCAACCCUUAUGACUAGUUGCCAGCAUUUAGUUGGGCACUCUAGUAAGACUGCCCGGUGACAAACCGGAGGAAGGUGGGGAUGACGUCAAAUCAUCAUGCCCCUUAUGACCUGGGCUACACACGUGCUACAAUGGAUGGGUACAACGAGUUGCGAGACCGCGAGGUCAAGCUAAUCUCUUWAAAGCCAUUUCUCAGUUCGGACUGURGGCUGCAACUCGCC
Molecule: ribosomal RNA, 656 nt
Filed under: Lacticaseibacillus rhamnosus
Lineage: Bacteria; Bacillati; Bacillota; Bacilli; Lactobacillales; Lactobacillaceae
Description: bacterial SSU rRNA
Rfam family: Bacterial small subunit ribosomal RNA
Source: RNAcentral